RNAcentral lists this unclassified non-coding RNA (2909 nucleotides) under Orbicella faveolata. Its description in RNAcentral is "uncharacterized LOC110042301, transcript variant X1". Lineage: Eukaryota; Metazoa; Cnidaria; Anthozoa; Scleractinia; Merulinidae. The record is from RNAcentral.
CACGCGACGACAGUCAUGUAGUGUAUGCGUGACUUUCCGCCGGGACUCACCACGAACACAAGCCUGUCACAGUUUGGCACAACCUUCAAAGACCUUCAAGCCGAGUGUUUUAUCAGUUUUGACCGUCACGGGUUUAACCAACAUCCGUCACUUCUCAGUCUCCAUAUGAGUAACGUAAACAGUGUUUCAAAAAAACAAAACACUCAAAAUAUUUUGACAAAAAAUCCCGAGAUCGCGAGUAAAGACCGCCAUUUUGAAACACGUUCUUUAUAUGUACAUGUGUACGAGGAGUCCUGGGGUAGAAAAGCUACCUCACGUUUUUCAUUCGCCUCGUCAUGCAUUCUCGUCCCCAGAGGCCUCGCUCCUUUUAUAGUCAGCACCAAGGGUCGCGAUUCUUGGUGCUGACCUAAAGGAGCGCGGCCUCUGGGGACGAGGACGCUCGUCAUGCAAAGACAAGCUUAAGACAUCAUGCCCGGAGCAACUUUCAAGUCAAAUUUGCUCGAGGAAGUUACAAAGUUCCGUUUGCGUUCUGUCAAUUCUCCCGUGUAAAAUGAGAGAGGAAAUAAUAACCCUGUGGUUUAUUCUUCACGAACAGAUUGCGAAACUUAGUGGCCGGUUGAGCUAAAAUUGGGACAGGCGCUUCAUAAUUCAAAACUCAACUGCACAAUCUGUAGUGUAAAUUUAAAUUUUUGUCCGCAACUCCUUGUUCAUAUGGCGAUUUCACUCAUUCUGUCCCCAAUUUCUGUCGAUCUGUUGAUCAACGGUCGACCGUACGGCAAUUCGUUUCUUCGUGUUUGACACAGAUGUGGUGGUAUUUUUUCCACUUGCUCGAGCAAAUUGGAAUUAAAAAUUAAGUUGCAAGCCGCCUCAAGCAAACUGUUUAUCAAUAUUGGAAUAUUGCAUCGCGACAUUGCAGGGUUCUUGUUAAAGAACAUGCCUUUUGACUGUUGCUGUUGUAUUUUUGCCAAACUGGAUUGUCGACUGAAAGCUGGCAAAUCUAUUUAUUUAUCUAAAAAUCUUGCUCUUAGAAAACAGCUGCCUCGUCACAUAAUAAUUCAAUCCUCAGCAGGAAAAACUCUUGUGUGGGAUGAAGAGUUUUGUCCAAGCUUUCAGACCAGUUAUAGAAAAGACGAAAAUAAAAUACAAACAUAAUUUUUGUGUUCGUGCGUAAUGUAGUUGCUUGAGGCUUAACAAAGAAUUUUGAACACAGUUUACAUGUGCCACGGUCACGUGAUCCAGCCAAGCAAGCACCUGCUUUGUCCAAGCUUGGUUACUCAGGUCUUGUCGCAAACAAAGCCAAGCCGACUUUCAAGUUUCUUAGUGGCCACUUAACUAACGUGCCUGACGCCGAUUUGCUCAACUUAUCGCCAUGGCAACUCAGCCCACCGACAUGCAGCAACGUGACUCAGUGAAAUUCAGGUAUCAAUCAGGUGAUUUAAAAUCAGUCUAUUUAUUUCGCUUUUUAUAACACGUGUAAACAUUUCGUCCUAGCGGCACGGUCGUGACCACGGCGAUGAAAAUCGCGACAAACUCAGCAGCGAUAUUUUUUCUCGUUGUUGUGUGUCCGCCCGGCGUUUUUAGCGAAAUUUGCCAGCGGUUAAACCCGUCUUUAUUUCAAAGAUGUAUCAAAGCAGGGCACAAUUACACAGCAUAUUUCCCGAGUAAUACGACACUUCAUGAAAAUAUCAUAGCAUAUCACAUAGAGCGAGAAGCGCGACAGUUUGGACAAUGUUCAAAAUAUCUCGAUACAAUAUUGUGCUCUAUUUUCGUUCCUAAAUGCGUCGAAGAUCUCUACAGUCCAGUUUUGCCAUGUAGAAGGGUCUGUGAAGACUUUGUCAGGGACUGCGAGUUAAAGGUAGACUCCGAGAGAAUUGAGUGGAUAAAAGGGCUUUGUCAUUUGUUGCCUUAUUCCAUAGCGAACAAGAGCGACCGAGACGAAUGCUUUCAACCGGCAAAUUAUAAGCCGCGAGUCAACGCUACAACCCCUCUCGUUCAGAGCUGCACCAAACUUAUAAUGUCUUCCUGUUCCUAUCUCGGCUACUCGCAUACCACGCAAACUAAACACUUACAACUGAUACUCGAUAAUGUGCUCAAGGGAAAACUCCACAAAUUUGGAAAUCACUCCGUGUGUUCACCGAUGCUCAAGAAAAUUUUCUGCGCAGAGUUUGCUCCACCAUGUUUUCCACAAGACAAGACAGAAACUGUUCUAAGAACAGUGUGCAAGUCAGACUGCGAGAAUGUGCAGACAGAGUGUCCGGAUUUAUACCGGCAACAUUUUGGAGAAUACAGUUACUGUGAGCAAAUGGCAACAGAACAGAGCGACUUGGAUGGAUUUUGCAAACUGACGAAAUGGCCGACUGCCGUACGAUGGCCUUCACGACCAAAUCCUACAAUAAAGCCCAGUCUCCGCAGUUCAUCAAUACCAGCCGCUACGUCUUCCACACCGUCGGCUGGUUCAUUCGUUCCCAGACCUGUCACGCUGAGGGCCAAGAUUUCCCUGCCAGUAGUCGCUAUCGUUGUGUCUUCUGUUGUUAUUGCGCUGUCAGUAAUCGCUGUUGUAAGUGUGCUCUUGCUGCGAAAACGACGACCAUUCACUGAGGGGUGGACGGUAAGGGGAUAUCGGCGUCAUCCCUUGAACGAAUGGGAAACUUCAGUGUCGAUAAAAACGUGAGCCCACGCGCUCCUUUUAGCAUUGCGGUUUCGUCCUUGGUAUCACGCUUGAACAGAUCAUCCGCGAUCCACGAACUGUUCACGUUAACAACUCAAGGUACAAUCAAACACAGAACGUGAUAUUUCUGAGCAAACGGCAGGUUUUGCGUUUUUGGUAAAGUUUGAUGUCAAAGGGAGUCUUCCAGGGAGAAAAUCAAGAACUUUUAUUUUGAAGCAAUAAAUUUUCUAACCAGUUCAAA